This 253-nucleotide ribosomal RNA is filed under the name uncultured bacterium. Its description in RNAcentral is "partial 16S ribosomal RNA". It matches the Rfam family "Bacterial small subunit ribosomal RNA", at positions 524 to 776 of the family's 1533-position model. The record is from RNAcentral.
UACGGAGGGUGCAAGCGUUAUCCGGAUUCACUGGGUUUAAAGCGCACGUAGGCGGAUCUUUAAGUCAGGGGUGAAAUCCCGAGGCUCAACCUCGGAACUGCCCUUGAUACUGGGGAUCUCGAGUCCGGAAGAGGUUGGUGGAACUCCGAGUGUAGAGGUGAAAUUCGUAGAUAUUCGGAAGAACACCAGUGGCGAAGGCGGCCAACUGGUCCGGCACUGACGCUGAGGUGCGAAAGCGUGGGGAGCAAACAGG